Molecule: non-coding RNA, 112 nt
Organism: Acanthosepion pharaonis
Lineage: Eukaryota; Metazoa; Mollusca; Cephalopoda; Sepiida; Sepiidae
Source: the annotation of a GenBank genome assembly
ACGGCCAUAUCACGUUGAUGCACCGGCUCUCGUUCAAUCACCGAAGUUAAGCAACGUCGAGCCUGGUCAGUACCUAGAUGAGUAACCGCAUGGGAACACCAGGAGCUGUAAG